Equus quagga is the source of this 673-nucleotide long non-coding RNA. RefSeq lists it as uncharacterized. The transcript has 3 exons. NCBI's taxonomy places the organism in Eukaryota, Metazoa, Chordata, Mammalia, Perissodactyla, Equidae. The record is from RefSeq and is a predicted model, not a curated record.
GUUGGACUUGUUAGGUAACAGGUUGAACCCUGUGCUUUACAGGAACCUGGAAGGCGAAACUGGCCAAACAACAGAAAUGAAGCAUUCUUAAGAACAUAAGAAGAUGGACCCUCUCAGGGAGGUGUUGAUGAAAUCUCUUUAUGGAAACUCCAAGUGGAUAAGGAAGUAUCUCUAAAGCUUACGGCAAAUUCAUCAUAGUCUCCUGUAGGACAUGACUGGAGCAGGAAGGUGAGUGUGCAUUUAAUAAAUAAGUUUAAAACAAGAAGGGGAGAGAUGGGAGGUUCUGGCAACUCUCUCCCAAAGUCUGCUUUGCCAAAUAUUCAAAGACUGGGAAGGUUGGGUUACCUACAGACUCCUGGAUGUAGCUUUUCAUUUAUUGACACUGAAGGGAGGGGCUAUGACCUGGCAGGCUGGAGGUGCCUCACUUUGAAGUUAAGGGGUCGGCGGGAGGCUUCUUCCUCUCUUCCCUAAAGGUAAAGGGAUCCUUCCAGUGAUGGGGAUGACAAGCUUGGAGUAAGUCAGCAGUGCAGCAAACAGGGCAGGUUACGUUACUUCUUUUUUACUUCUGAAGAAACUGUUUCUAUGGCUGAUGGAGCUGAGGAGGCUGAAGUUGGUUUCUUUGAUUCCAGGACAUUGAAGUUCAGGGAAGAAAAUGCAGCUUCAUCCAUCUGAA